GAUGAACGCUGGCGGCGUGCUUAACACAUGCAAGUCGAACGGAAAGGCCCAAGCUUGCUUGGGUACUCGAGUGGCGAACGGGUGAGUAACACGUGGGUGAUCUGCCCUGCACUUCGGGAUAAGCCUGGGAAACUGGGUCUAAUACCGGAUAGGACCACAUUUUGGAUGGUGUGGUGGAAAGUUUUUCGGUGUGGGAUGAGCUCGCGGCCUAUCAGCUUGUUGGUGGGGUAAUGGCCUACCAAGGCGUCGACGGGUAGCCGGCCUGAGAGGGUGUACGGCGACAUUGGGACUGAGAUACGGCCCAGACUCCUACGGGAGGCAGCAGUGGGGAAUAUUGCACAAUGGGCGCAAGCCUGAUGCAGCGACGCCGCGUGGGGGAUGACGGCCUUCGGGUUGUAAACUCCUUUCGCUAGGGACGAAGCGUUAUGUGACGGUACCUGGAGAAGAAGCACCGGCUAACUACGUG
This 466-nucleotide ribosomal RNA is filed under the name uncultured bacterium. RNAcentral's name for it is "partial 16S ribosomal RNA". It matches the Rfam family "Bacterial small subunit ribosomal RNA", at positions 28 to 507 of the family's 1533-position model. The record is from RNAcentral.